This 71-nucleotide transfer RNA is filed under the name Loxodonta africana (African savanna elephant). It matches the Rfam family "tRNA". Rfam says of the family: Transfer RNA (tRNA) molecules are approximately 80 nucleotides in length. Their secondary structure includes four short double-helical elements and three loops (D, anti-codon, and T loops). The record is from Rfam by way of RNAcentral. Lineage: Eukaryota; Metazoa; Chordata; Mammalia; Proboscidea; Elephantidae.
GCAUUGGUAGUCCAGUGGUAGAAUUCUUGCCUUCCAUGUGGAAGACCUGGGCUGGAUUCUCAGCCAGUGCA